Molecule: ribosomal RNA, 548 nt
Filed under: Clostridioides difficile
Lineage: Bacteria; Bacillati; Bacillota; Clostridia; Peptostreptococcales; Peptostreptococcaceae
Description: partial 23S ribosomal RNA
Rfam family: Bacterial large subunit ribosomal RNA
Source: RNAcentral
GGAGCCGUAGCGAAAGCGAGUUUUAACUGAGCGUUCAGUUACUUGACGUAGACCCGAAACCGGGCGACCUACCCAUGAGCAGGAUGAAGCGAAAGUAAAAUUUCGUGGAGGUCCGAACCCACGAGCGUUGAAAAGCUCGGGGAUGACUUGUGGGUAGCGGUGAAAUUCCAAUCGAGCCCGGAGAUAGCUGGUUCUCCCCGAAAUAGCUUUAGGGCUAGCCUCAAGGUGAGAGAUACGGAGGUAGAGCACUGAAUGUCCUAGGGGGUAUUGCACCUACCGAAGACUAUCAAACUCCGAAUGCCGUCAUCUUAUACUUGGGAGUCAGACUGUGGGUGAUAAGAUUCAUAGUCGAAAGGGCAACAGCCCAGAUCGUCAGCUAAGGUCCCUAAAUGUAAGUUAAGUGGUAAAGGAUGUGGGAUUGCACAGACAACCAGGAUGUUGGCUUAGAAGCAGCCACUCAUUCAAAGAGUGCGUAAUAGCUCACUGGUCGAGUGAUCCUGCGCCGAAGAUUUCCGGGGCUAAAACUUACUACCGAAGCUACGGCAUCA